GGUUUCAAACCCAUAAAUAUCGAAUCAUAUGAUGGCACAACAGAUCCUGCGGUAUGGAUCGAGGAUUAUCUCCUUCAUAUCCACAUGGCCCGCGACGAUGAUCUCCACGCCAUCAAAUACCUCCCACUCAAUCUUAAAGGACCAGCUCGGCAUUGGCUUAACAGCUUGCCAGCAGGAUCAAUCAGUUGUUGGGAGGACCUGGAAGCCACAUUCCUCGACAAUUUCCAGGGCACUUAUGUGCGACCACCAGACGCCGAUGACCUAAGCCACGUAAUUCAGCAGCCAGAGGAAUCGGCUAGGCAAUUCUGGACAGGGUUCCUAACAAAGAAAAAUCAAAUAGUCGACUGUCCAGACACA
RNAcentral lists this ribosomal RNA (357 nucleotides) under Triticum aestivum (bread wheat). RNAcentral describes it as "partial small subunit ribosomal RNA". The record is from RNAcentral. Lineage: Eukaryota; Viridiplantae; Streptophyta; Magnoliopsida; Poales; Poaceae.